UCUACGGGUGGCAGCAGUGGGGAAUAUUGGACAAUGGGCGAAAGCCUGAUCCAGCCAUGCCGCGUGUGUGAAGAAGGCCUUCGGGUUGUAAAGCACUUUCAGUGGGGAAGAAAGCCUUGGGGCUAAUACCCUCGAGGAAGGACAUCACCCACAGAAGAAGCACCGGCUAACUCCGUGCCAGCAGCCGCGGUAAUACGGAGGGUGCGAGCGUUAAUCGGAAUUACUGGGCGUAAAGCGCGCGUAGGCGGUCUGAUAAGCCGGUUGUGAAAGCCCCGGGCUCAACCUGGGAACGGCAUCCGGAACUGUCAGGCUAGAGUGCAGGAGAGGAAGGUAGAAUUCCCGGUGUAGCGGUGAAAUGCGUAGAGAUCGGGAGGAAUACCAGUGGCGAAGGCGGCCUUCUGGACUGACACUGACGCUGAGGUGCGAAAGCGUGGGUAGCAAACAGGAUUAGAUACCCUGGUAGUC
Molecule: ribosomal RNA, 465 nt
Filed under: Vreelandella stevensii
Lineage: Bacteria; Pseudomonadati; Pseudomonadota; Gammaproteobacteria; Oceanospirillales; Halomonadaceae
Description: partial 16S ribosomal RNA
Rfam family: Bacterial small subunit ribosomal RNA
Source: RNAcentral